RNAcentral lists this ribosomal RNA (429 nucleotides) under uncultured bacterium. RNAcentral describes it as "bacterial SSU rRNA". It matches the Rfam family "Bacterial small subunit ribosomal RNA", at positions 355 to 776 of the family's 1533-position model. The record is from RNAcentral.
UGGGGAAUUUUGGACAAUGGGGGCAACCCUGAUCCAGCCAUGCCGCGUGCGGGAAGAAGGCCUUCGGGUUGUAAACCGCUUUUAUUCGGGAAGAAGGAGUAGGGGUUAAUACCCUCUAUGACGGACGGUACUGGAUGAAUAAGCACCGGCUAACUACGUGCCAGCAGCCGCGGUAAUACGUAGGGUGCGAGCGGUAAUCGGAAUUACUGGGCGUAAAGCGUGCGUAGGCGGCUUGUCAAGUCAGCUGUGAAAGCCCCGGGCUUAACCUGGGAAUGGCGGUUGAAACUAGCAAGCUUGAAUCUGGCAGAGGGGGGUGGAAUUCCACGUGUAGCAGUGAAAUGCGUAGAGAUGUGGAGGAACACCGAUGGCGAAGGCAGCCCCCUGGGCUGAGAUUGACGCUCAGGCACGAAAGCGUGGGGAGCAAACAGG